CGGCCCUGAGGGGGGAGGGAGGGCCGAGCUUUGGGGCUGGAGGGGAUAUAGCCCAGGGUCGUAGCUCAGGUCGGAGCGGGCCUUUAAGGUCACGGAACGGUUGGGUUGGAAGAGACCCCAGGGCCCUCCCCAGCCCCACUCCUCUGUGGGCCGGCUGCCCCCCGCCAGCACAGGGCCCCAGGGCCCGCCCGAGGUUUGUCACUCAUCUCCAUCCACAAGUCCAAAACUCUGCGUCCUUGUGCCCAAACGUGGAUACGGCGAGGGAUGGGCUUCCCCCCCAGGCCCACCUGUCUUUUGGAACGGGUUCUGACAUUGGCAACGCCUCCCGGGUUCCAUUUUGUGCCCCUUGGCCUUCCCCCAACGCAUUUAGGGCGCUGGUCAACACACGGCUUGUUUUUUUGUUGCUUAAGGGAACGCCGUGCACCUCAACCCAUUCCUUUUCCAUCUCUCCAGCCUGAGAAAACGCUGAGAAAGAAUCCGCCUCCCAGUGACUCAGUGCUAUCUCCACCCACCACCAGCUCAGACCCGCUCCCCCGGGGAGGAGAACAGCGGAAAAUAUGAAUUCCAAUUGGAAUUCCUGGCGUCACCCCAAGGGGAAAACAGGCACCGAGGCACCGGCACGUAGAUCUCCUGCUUGCUGCGGUCACCAGAGGGCACACGUCCGCUGCCGUGACAUGGAAAAAAGUUCCCAAUUUGGGCUGUUUGCUGAGCUCAACCCGGGCGAGGAGGAGCGUUCAGCCAACGGCGUGGGCAUAAAGUGGAGCACGAACGGCGUCCAACGAAACGUCGGCGGCGUAAAAUGAAACGUCGAUGGGCGUCAGACGAAACCCCUGUGGCGUGAAGUCAAACGUGGACGGCGCAAAAGGAAACCUGGACGGCACAAAAUGGAAGCUGGAUGACGUAAAACCGAACCUGGAUGAUGUAAAGCGGGACCUGGAUGACAUAAAACCGAACCUGGAUGGCGUAGAGCGGGACCUGGAUGACGUAAAACCGAACCUGGAUGACGUAAAGCGGGACCUGGAUGACACAGAGCGAAGCAUUGAUGGCGGAAAGCGGGACCUGGAUGACAUAAAACCAAACCUGGAUGACAUAAAGCGGGACGUGGAUGACGUAAAACCGAACCUGGAUGAC
RNAcentral lists this long non-coding RNA (1131 nucleotides) under Numida meleagris (helmeted guineafowl). Its description in RNAcentral is "lncRNA (ENSNMEG00000001433.1)". Lineage: Eukaryota; Metazoa; Chordata; Aves; Galliformes; Numididae. The record is from RNAcentral.